Molecule: transfer RNA, 57 nt
Filed under: Bos taurus (domestic cattle)
Lineage: Eukaryota; Metazoa; Chordata; Mammalia; Artiodactyla; Bovidae
Also listed under: 1 other name
Rfam family: tRNA
About the family: Transfer RNA (tRNA) molecules are approximately 80 nucleotides in length. Their secondary structure includes four short double-helical elements and three loops (D, anti-codon, and T loops).
Source: Rfam by way of RNAcentral
UAGCUCAGUUGGUAAAGAAUCUGCCUGUAAUGCAGGAGACCCAGGUUCGAAUCCUGG